This 750-nucleotide ribosomal RNA is filed under the name Triticum aestivum (bread wheat). RNAcentral's name for it is "partial small subunit ribosomal RNA". The record is from RNAcentral. Lineage: Eukaryota; Viridiplantae; Streptophyta; Magnoliopsida; Poales; Poaceae.
AUGAAAAUAAAGUUCGGUGAAGCUGAUCAGCAGAAAGAAAUAACAAUAACAAAGGAAGGCAUCCACAAGGUGUUUGGGUACCCAAACGGUACGAAAAAGACAACACCAAGGCCAAAGAUUUCCACCGAGACAAUGACCGAACUGGUCACAGAACUUGGCCUCAAGAAAAUGGGUUUCCAUCACGAUGAUCUGUUUAAAGAACUAGAAAAAUUGGUGAAACAAGAUGACGAACAAUCAAACAGGAAAUCAGUUAAAAUAUUUUUCCUUAUUUUUUUCCACAACAUUGUCUAUGGAACAACCUCCCCUACCUUCUGCAAACAAGCCAUUAUGGUCAAGGACUUGGACUAUCCAGAAAUGGCAAAGAUGGAUUUCUGCCACGUAAUCGUCGAAAGUAUUAGGGAAGAAGCAAAGACAUGGAAGAAGCACAGCUUGUUGCCCCAGGAAGAAAAGAACAAAAAGCAUCUCAAUGGUUUGGCGCAGGGACCAGUAAUAAUGUACCUCGACUGCCUGUUGCUGCCGACUGACACAAAACAAAUGCGGAAGAUUGCCAAGACAAUGGAGAAGACAUCAUUACCGCGAGCAAACCACCUAAAAGAGAGUGACCUAAGGAAAAUAGCUAGAGCAGACAUGAAAACUGACGGAAAAGCACGACCAGAUGACUAUGAAUUUGGCAAGAUACAGACAUGGAAAGGAACAGCAGAGAGGAUCUUCUAUGCCAACACAGCAACACCUUCAUAUCAACGCAGAUGA